GCCUGCCCUAUGAAUAAUUUUGUUUUAAAUGGCUGCGGUAUUUUGACCGUGCAAAGGUAGCAUAAUAAUUAGUUUCUUAAUUGGGAACUGGAAUGAAUGGUCGAACGAGAAAAAGACUGUCUCAAUUUAAUUUUAAUUAGAAUUUUAUUUUUAAGUAAAAAAGCUUAAAUAUUCUUAAAAGACGAGAAGACCCUAUAGAGUUUUAUAUUGAUUAUUAUUAUUGAAAGUUAAAGUAUUUUAGAUUUAAUAAUAAUAAUUAGUAUUUAGUUGGGGCGAUUGAAAAAUUUAAUAAACUUUUUUUAAAUUAUACCAUUAAUUUAUGAAUAAAUGAUCCAUAUUUUAUGAUUAAAAGAUU
This 355-nucleotide ribosomal RNA is filed under the name Arachnodes sp. 1 HKW-2010. RNAcentral describes it as "partial 16S ribosomal RNA". Lineage: Eukaryota; Metazoa; Arthropoda; Insecta; Coleoptera; Scarabaeidae. The record is from RNAcentral.